This 506-nucleotide ribosomal RNA is filed under the name uncultured bacterium. RNAcentral describes it as "partial 16S ribosomal RNA". It matches the Rfam family "Bacterial small subunit ribosomal RNA", at positions 28 to 523 of the family's 1533-position model. The record is from RNAcentral.
GAUGAACGCUAGCUACAGGCUUAACACAUGCAAGUCGAGAGGUAACGAGAGGAAAGCUUGCUUUCCUUGUCGACGACCGGCGCACGGGUGAGUAACGCGUAUCCAACCUGCCCCCAACUAAGGAAUAACCUUGCGAAAGUAAGACUAAUACCUUAUAAUUUCCUCAGAUGUCAUCUGACGAGGAAUAAAGAUUUAUCGGUUGUGGAUGGGGAUGCGUCUGAUUAGCUUGUUGGCGGGGUAACGGCCCACCAAGGCAACGAUCAGUAGGGGUUCUGAGAGGAAGGUCCCCCACAUUGGAACUGAGACACGGUCCAAACUCCUACGGGAGGCAGCAGUGAGGAAUAUUGGUCAAUGGGCGGAAGCCUGAACCAGCCAAGUAGCGUGCAGGAUGACGGCCCUAUGGGUUGUAAACUGCUUUUAUACAGGAAUAAAGUUAGCCACGUGUGGUUAUUUGUAGGUACUGUAUGAAUAAGGACCGGCUAAUUCCGUGCCAGCCGCCGCGGUAC